UAGCUCAGUUGGUAGAGCGCUCCACUGGAAAAGGAGAGGUCCCUGGUUCGAUACCAGG
This 58-nucleotide transfer RNA is filed under the name Ixodes scapularis (black-legged tick). It matches the Rfam family "tRNA", at positions 8 to 63 of the family's 71-position model. From Rfam's summary of the family: Transfer RNA (tRNA) molecules are approximately 80 nucleotides in length. Their secondary structure includes four short double-helical elements and three loops (D, anti-codon, and T loops). Lineage: Eukaryota; Metazoa; Arthropoda; Arachnida; Ixodida; Ixodidae. The record is from Rfam by way of RNAcentral.